RNAcentral lists this ribosomal RNA (1520 nucleotides) under Shigella sonnei. RNAcentral's name for it is "partial 23S ribosomal RNA". It matches the Rfam family "Bacterial large subunit ribosomal RNA", at positions 1416 to 2915 of the family's 2925-position model. Lineage: Bacteria; Pseudomonadati; Pseudomonadota; Gammaproteobacteria; Enterobacterales; Enterobacteriaceae. The record is from RNAcentral.
CGAUGGGAAACAGGUUAAUAUUCCUGUACUUGGUGUUACUGCGAAGGGGGGACGGAGAAGGCUAUGUUGGCCGGGCGACGGUUGUCCCGGUUUAAGCGUGUAGGCUGGUUUUCCAGGCAAAUCCGGAAAAUCAAGGCUGAGGCGUGAUGACGAGGCACUACGGUGCUGAAGCAACAAAUGCCCUGCUUCCAGGAAAAGCCUCUAAGCAUCAGGUAACAUCAAAUCGUACCCCAAACCGACACAGGUGGUCAGGUAGAGAAUACCAAGGCGCUUGAGAGAACUCGGGUGAAGGAACUAGGCAAAAUGGUGCCGUAACUUCGGGAGAAGGCACGCUGAUAUGUAGGUGAAGUCCCUUGCGGAUGGAGCUGAAAUCAGUCGAAGAUACCAGCUGGCUGCAACUGUUUAUUAAAAACACAGCACUGUGCAAACACGAAAGUGGACGUAUACGGUGUGACGCCUGCCCGGUGCCGGAAGGUUAAUUGAUGGGGUCAGCGCAAGCGAAGCUCUUGAUCGAAGCCCCGGUAAACGGCGGCCGUAACUAUAACGGUCCUAAGGUAGCGAAAUUCCUUGUCGGGUAAGUUCCGACCUGCACGAAUGGCGUAAUGAUGGCCAGGCUGUCUCCACCCGAGACUCAGUGAAAUUGAACUCGCUGUGAAGAUGCAGUGUACCCGCGGCAAGACGGAAAGACCCCGUGAACCUUUACUAUAGCUUGACACUGAACAUUGAGCCUUGAUGUGUAGGAUAGGUGGGAGGCUUUGAAGUGUGGACGCCAGUCUGCAUGGAGCCGGCCUUGAAAUACCACCCUUUAAUGUUUGAUGUUCUAACGUGGACCCGUGAUCCGGGUUGCGGACAGUGUCUGGUGGGUAGUUUGACUGGGGCGGUCUCCUCCUAAAGAGUAACGGAGGAGCACGAAGGUUGGCUAAUCCUGGUCGGACAUCAGGAGGUUAGUGCAAUGGCAUAAGCCAGCUUGACUGCGAGCGUGACGGCGCGAGCAGGUGCGAAAGCAGGUCAUAGUGAUCCGGUGGUUCUGAAUGGAAGGGCCAUCGCUCAACGGAUAAAAGGUACUCCGGGGAUAACAGGCUGAUACCGCCCAAGAGUUCAUAUCGACGGCGGUGUUUGGCACCUCGAUGUCGGCUCAUCACAUCCUGGGGCUGAAGUAGGUCCCAAGGGUAUGGCUGUUCGCCAUUUAAAGUGGUACGCGAGCUGGGUUUAGAACGUCGUGAGACAGUUCGGUCCCUAUCUGCCGUGGGCGCUGGAGAACUGAGGGGGGCUGCUCCUAGUACGAGAGGACCGGAGUGGACGCAUCACUGGUGUUCGGGUUGUCAUGCCAAUGGCACUGCCCGGUAGCUAAAUGCGGAAGAGAUAAGUGCUGAAAGCAUCUAAGCACGAAACUUGCCCCGAGAUGAGUUCUCCCUGACCCUUUAAGGGUCCUGAAGGAACGUUGAAGACGACGACGUUGAUAGGCCGGGUGUGUAAGCGCAGCGAUGCGUUGAGCUAACCGGUACUAAUGAACCGUGAGG